CCCGCCGAGGGGCGCUGCGACCGUUGGCGUGAGGCAGAUCCAUCUGCAGCCCCACGCAUCGGCCAGGCUCGGCGCGGCACGUUCCACAACGGCGCCCGGUUGUC
This 104-nucleotide non-coding RNA is filed under the name Rhodanobacter spathiphylli. RNAcentral describes it as "Rhodanobacter sp. SAH sequence". It matches the Rfam family "SAH (S-adenosyl-L-homocysteine) riboswitch aptamer". Lineage: Bacteria; Pseudomonadati; Pseudomonadota; Gammaproteobacteria; Lysobacterales; Rhodanobacteraceae. The record is from RNAcentral.